CCUACGGGGGGCAGCAGUGGGGAAUAUUGCACAAUGGGGGGAACCCUGAUGCAGCGACGCCGCGUGGGUGAAGGAGCACCUCGGUGCGUAAAGCCCUAUCGGCAGGGAAGAAAAGCGAACAGGUUCGCCUGGACGGUACCUGACUAAGAAGCCCCGGCUAACUACGUGCCAGCAGCCGCGGUAAUACGUAGGGGGCAAGCGUUAUCCGGAUUCACUGGGUGUAAAGGGAGCGUAGACGGCGGCGCAAGUCUGGAGUGAAAGCCCGGGGCCCAACCCCGGGACUGCUCUGGAAACUGCGGCGCUGG
This 305-nucleotide ribosomal RNA is filed under the name uncultured bacterium. Its description in RNAcentral is "bacterial SSU rRNA". It matches the Rfam family "Bacterial small subunit ribosomal RNA", at positions 338 to 644 of the family's 1533-position model. The record is from RNAcentral.